This 305-nucleotide ribosomal RNA is filed under the name uncultured bacterium. RNAcentral's name for it is "bacterial SSU rRNA". It matches the Rfam family "Bacterial small subunit ribosomal RNA", at positions 338 to 640 of the family's 1533-position model. The record is from RNAcentral.
CCUACGGGGCGCAGCAGUGAGGAAUAUUGGUCAAUGGGCGGGAGCCUGAACCAGCCAAGUCGCGUGAGGGAAGACGGUCCUAUGGAUUGUAAACCUCUUUUGUCGGGGAGCAAAGAGAUCACGUGUGGUCAAAAGCGAGAGUACCCGAAGAAAAAGCAUCGGCUAACUCCGUGCCAGCAGCCGCGGUAAUACGGAGGAUGCGAGCGUUAUCCGGAUUUAUUGGGUUUAAAGGGUGCGUAGGCGGGACGGUAAGUCAGCGGUAAAAUCGCGGGGCUCAACCUCGCUCCGCCGUUGAAACGGGCGUU